Long non-coding RNA from Ipomoea triloba (trilobed morning glory), 253 nucleotides. RefSeq lists it as uncharacterized. Lineage: Eukaryota; Viridiplantae; Streptophyta; Magnoliopsida; Solanales; Convolvulaceae. The transcript has 2 exons. The record is from RefSeq and is a predicted model, not a curated record.
AAUUGGUAAAUGAAAUAUUUUCUUGUGCUUCUGGUUCCUGCGGCUGGACUUUGCGACUUGCGAGACUGCGACGACUGACGAGCUGUUCGACUGGCGGCGGCGAGGCGACUAGCGAUCGGCGAGAGGAAGUGAAAGCGUGAAUAUAUUGUGUAUCCUCCCGAAGCACCCCGGCCUCCAUCACCGGAGGAAUUGAGAGAGAUGGCGCGAGAAGUGGCUCGCAAGAGAGAGAGGGAGAGAAACCUCAAAAACUGAA